This 501-nucleotide ribosomal RNA is filed under the name uncultured bacterium. Its description in RNAcentral is "bacterial SSU rRNA". It matches the Rfam family "Bacterial small subunit ribosomal RNA", at positions 29 to 521 of the family's 1533-position model. The record is from RNAcentral.
AUGAACGCUGGCGGCAUGCCUAACACAUGCAAGUCGAACGGCAGCGCGGGUAGCUUGCUACCUGGCGGCGAGUGGCGGACGGGUGAGUAAUGCAUAGGAAUCUGCCCAGUAGCGGGGGAUAACCCGGGGAAACCCGGAUUAAUACCGCAUACGCCCUACGGGGAAAGCAGGGGAUCUUCGGACCUUGCACUAUUGGAUGAGCCUAUGUCUGAUUAGCUUGUUGGUGGGGUAACGGCCUACCAAGGCGACGAUCAGUAGCUGGUCUGAGAGGACGAUCAGCCACACCGGAACUGAGACACGGUCCGGACUCCUACGGGAGGCAGCAGUGGGGAAUAUUGGACAAUGGGGGAAACCCUGAUCCAGCAAUGCCGCGUGUGUGAAGAAGGCCCGCGGGUUGUAAAGCACUUUCAGUUGGGAAGAAACAGCAGCCGGCUAAUAUCCGGUUGUCUUGACGUAACCAACAGAAGAAGCACCGGCUAACUCCGUGCCAGCAGCCGCGGU